CAGCUCCAAGGCAAGUCUGCAAACCGUCAAGUUUUACAUUUCCACAAUAAUGUUAACGUUAAAUAUAAGCAUUAUUUUAUCAAUAACAGUAUACAAUAUCAAUGUAUAACUGUACUUCGCUAUUUUAAACUCGUCAAAGGGAAAAAGAGUUCCACUGGGGUGAACAGAGGGUGGGCAUUUCCCAACUCCCUUCCGGAACCGUAUUUUAACCCCGGGAUUCAGGUCGGACCUCCUUAAUCAGCACACCGUGGCAUCCAUCACUGCUGAGGAAUAGAGAUACAGAGCUGUGAAACCCUGUCUGCAGAUGAAGAGCAGUGGUUCCCAGUCCUGUUCCUGGGGUCUCAAAGGGGUAUGUUUUGAUGUGAGAGAGUAUGCCAACCGUCAGAACCAUCAUCGCCACCUCACCCGCUGUUACGAUAACCUUCAGGCCAAUUUGGUGCCCAAGGCUGGUUAGGAGACUUAUGUAAAACAUUUCACAUUCUCUACUGGUUGAAGUCUCUCAUUUGAUGAAAUACCACACCUAUCCUGUCCUCAGAUCAGUGCAGAUGAAGGAAAUGCGAUAGAUGAACCUAUUUACAUGAUGCAUAGGAAGUGUAAUGUACUGUAUAUAUGAAUUACAAAUCAGCCCUUUAACUAGUUAAAUCAUGUUUCUAGUCUAUUGGUUACUAUGUGUAACCAUUGAUAUCCCAGGACCAAGAUUGGUAAACACUGUUGAAGUGUAUAAUUGUAAUACAUACAUGCAGACACAGCACCAUUCAAAGAAUGCCGUUUGAUAUUCCAGGUAUUGGAUAUGACUGAAAAAGAAUCUCACAGACAUUCAUACCUGAACCGCACCUUUAUUUACCAAGGUAGAGUACAUGAUCAGUGACUAUAUUAAAUGUACAGGCUACAAUGUGGGGAUCUCAUGCUACAUGUAUAUACGACUUGCAUCCUUGGCACAAAUUAUAUUCUACUCUACUCAAUCCAUAGGCUUCAUUAAUGUCAUUCAGACUGUUUUGAAGUUGAUACAACCAGCUAUGAUGGUUAAAGUUCAUAUCUAGGUUCUGAACUAAUAUGUAUACCAAACGUUUGGGUCCAUACACAGAUCAGCUGGACAGCUACACAUCCAUAGGCAUACAGGGAUUUGAUCCUCCACUGCCCAAUAAGCAGGAACAUAGUUAGCUAUGUUAUUUCAUCUCACUGCAUUGCAUGGCAAAUAUCAGCAGGGCAAACUGUACAUUCAAUUUGCAGUAAAUGCUUUAUCUAGCUAGAUUCUUUACGUCCACUGUUUCACAAGACGACAAUCUGGUUUUCUGGUAGUUUCAGGAGUCCCUAAAACAUUAAACAACCAGAAUUAUAAUUUCAUACUCAUGUCAAAACACCCAUAAAGAUAGCUAGCUGGCUACUGUGAUUUACUGUGAUUUAAUGUGAUUUAGUGUAAUUGAAUGUGAUUUCAUGUGAUUUAGUGCAAUUUGGUGUGAUUAGCUGUGCCCUAAAUGGGAUUGGCCCUAUGGUGAACGGAGGGCUGGGUUGGGUUGUCAGGUUGGGUUGUCAGGGCAGAACUGUUGGAACACACAGAAUAGCUGAUCUGGAUCCAUUCAUCUGUAGAGAAUGGAAUAUAGAUGAGGUGAAGGGUUCAAUGGAACUUGACCCAAAGAAUCUAAUUGCCAUGAAAACGCAUGGGGGAAAGAUCCUGAAUCUCCUCAUUGCACCCCAGCAAAAUGAAACUACACUUAGGCUAUUAAUUAUAAGCUUAUUUCACACUAUGUUGAGGUAAAAAUCUAGUCAAUGAUCUCCAUCCAGCAGUUCCACAGUAAACCACUCACUGUCUGGUAGACACACUUCUCCUAGUCAAUGAUCUCCGGCAGUUCCACAGUAAACCACUCGCUGUCUGGUAGACACACCUCUCCUAGUCAAUGAUCUCCAUCCAGCAGUUCCACAGUAAACCACUCGCUGUCUGGUAGACACACCUCUCCUAGUCAAUGAUCUCCAUCCAGCAGUUCCACAGUAAACCACUCGCUGUCUGGUAGACACACCUCUCCUAGUCAAUGAUCUCCAUCCAGCAGUUCCACAGUAAACCACUCGCUGUCUGGUAGACACACCUCUCCUAGUCAAUGAUCUCCAUCCAGCAGUUCCACAGUAAACCACUCGCUGUCUGGUAGACACACCUCUCCUAGUCAAUGAUCUCCAUCCAGCAGUUCCACAGUAAACCACUCGCUGUCUGGUAGACACACCUCUCCUAGUCAAUGAUCUCCAUCCAGCAGUUCCACAGUAAACCACUCGCUGUCUGGUAGACACACCUCUCCUAGUCAAUGAUCUCCAUCCAGCAGUUCCACAGUAAACCACUCGCUGUCUGGUAGACACACCUCUCCUAGUCAAUGAUCUCCAUCCAGCAGUUCCACAGUAAACCACUCGCUGUCUGGUAGACACACCUCUCCUAGUCAAUGAUCUCCGGCAGUUCCACAGUAAAUCGUUCAUUCCCUCUUUAUCUCUAAUUUGGUAUUAUAAACUGUCAGUAAACUAAGUUGUUAAUGAGAGUGUUUGGGGUUGUAACAAGGAAGUUAUUUAAUCAGCUAGCUCCGUCACCCGCCGAGACCCAGCAUCAGUCAGGGAAGAGCUGAUUCCAAAGCUUUAAUGAGAUUUCCUUCUAAAUGUACAAUGAAUAAGGACCCUGUUAACCAGGUCCUUGUGGAUAGAACCUAAUGAAAAGAGUCUUUCUCAGCAGAUAAUGCAGCCCUCUGAAAAACAGAACUGUUUUGGACAAAUAAUUUCUUUAAUUUAAAAAGUUUCACUGAAGGUACUGGGCAGAACUUGGAAAGUUGUGUAUGGAGAUGAUCAGCAUUGGCUUAAUAACAGGAAGUGUGUUUACUUGGAUUUACUUUUUACACACAAAGACACACACACACACUUCAUGAUUGAGUAUUGCUCUGUUCAAGUAGACUGUGAUUUUGCUGUGGUCUGAUAGGGGUGUUUAGUGGGCUGACUGUGAACGCUCUGAGUUGAG
Oncorhynchus gorbuscha (pink salmon) is the source of this 2983-nucleotide long non-coding RNA. RefSeq lists it as uncharacterized. The transcript is spliced from 4 exons. NCBI's taxonomy places the organism in Eukaryota, Metazoa, Chordata, Actinopteri, Salmoniformes, Salmonidae. The record is from RefSeq and is a predicted model, not a curated record.